GAUGAACGCUGGCGGCGUGCUUAACACAUGCAAGUCGAACGAUGAUGCCCACUUGUGGGUGGAUUAGUGGCGAACGGGUGAGUAACACGUGAGUAACCUGCCCUUGACUCUGGGAUAAGCCUGGGAAACUGGGUCUAAUACCGGAUAUGACCUUCCAUCGCAUGGUGGUUGGUGGAAAGCUUUUGUGGUUUUGGAUGGACUCGCGGCCUAUCAGCUUGUUGGUGGGGUAAUGGCCUACCAAGGCGACGACGGGUAGCCGGCCUGAGAGGGUGACCGGCCACACUGGGACUGAGACACGGCCCAGACUCCUACGGGAGGCAGCAGUGGGGAAUAUUGCACAAUGGGCGGAAGCCUGAUGCAGCGACGCCGCGUGAGGGAUGACGGCCUUCGGGUUGUAAACCUCUUUCAGUAGGGAAGAAGCGUAAGUGACGGUACCUGCAGAAGAAGCGCCGGCUAACUACGUGCCAGCAGCCGCGGUAAUACGUAGGGCGCAAGCGUUAUCCGGAAUUAUUGGGCGUAAAGAGCUCGUAGGCGGUUUGUCGCGUCUGCCGUGAAAGUCCGGGGCUCAACUCCGGAUCUGCGGUGGGUACGGGCAGACUAGAGUGAUGUAGGGGAGACUGGAAUUCCUGGUGUAGCGGUGAAAUGCGCAGAUAUCAGGAAGAACACCGAUGGCGAAGGCAGGUCUCUGGGCAUUAACUGACGCUGAGGAGCGAAAGCGUGGGGAGCGAACAGGAUUAGAUACCCUGGUAGUCCAUGUCGUAAACGUUGGGCACUAGGUGUGGGGGACAUUCCACGUUUUCCGCGCCGUAGCUAACGCAUUAAGUGCCCCGCCUGGGGAGUACGGCCGCAAGGCUAAGACUCAAAGGAAUUGACGGGGGCCCGCACAAGCGGCGGAGCAUGCGGAUUAAUUCGAUGCAACGCGAAGAACCUUACCAAGGCUUGACAUGAACCGGAAACGCCUGGAAACAGGUGCCCCACUUGUGGUCGGUUUACAGGUGGUGCAUGGUUGUCGUCAGCUCGUGUCGUGAGAUGUUGGGUUAAGUCCCGCAACGAGCGCAACCCUCGUUCUAUGUUGCCAGCACGUGAUGGUGGGGACUCAUAGGAGACUGCCGGGGUCAACUCGGAGGAAGGUGGGGACGACGUCAAAUCAUCAUGCCCCUUAUGUCUUGGGCUUCACGCAUGCUACAAUGGCCGGUACAAAGGGUUGCGAUACUGUGAGGUGGAGCUAAUCCCAAAAAGCCGGUCUCAGUUCGGAUUGGGGUCUGCAACUCGACCCCAUGAAGUCGGAGUCGCUAGUAAUCGCAGAUCAGCAACGCUGCGGUGAAUACGUUCCCGGGCCU
RNAcentral lists this ribosomal RNA (1340 nucleotides) under uncultured bacterium. Its description in RNAcentral is "bacterial SSU rRNA". It matches the Rfam family "Bacterial small subunit ribosomal RNA", at positions 28 to 1381 of the family's 1533-position model. The record is from RNAcentral.